CUGCACGUUGGCACGCCCUUGGCGUCGGGGAGGAGCAGAAUAGACGAUCUCAUUUUCUUAACCGUGGAUCUCCUCCCCUAGACUUGUUGCCUAGGGUAAAAACAUACCUCAGGUAAUUUCUAGUACAAAGAACAAGAAAGCCCUGUGAAGACGGCCUGUUCCAUCCUUCAUCACCCUCGUUACAUCGCCGGUUUGUGCGUCCCCUAAGAACCAUCAUGUGGGUAUCACCUGGGCUGCCACCGUCCACUAGUCACGUCUGCCUGUCCCUGUGCUUAAAGCACUCAUCGUACUUCGCAGAAGAUUCGCUCACACGGACUUUUAGAAUAAAUAUAUCUAAUUUUAGAAGAAAAUUCUGUGAAUGAUGAAUUGACUUGGGAAUUCUGUGAAUGAUGAUUUAACUUCUUUUGAUGUUCAGUCAUCUUAUCCAAGAACCUGGUAUGUCUUUUCAUUGGUUAAAUCUACUUUUUCGUUG
This is a long non-coding RNA of Bos taurus (domestic cattle), 472 nucleotides long. Lineage: Eukaryota; Metazoa; Chordata; Mammalia; Artiodactyla; Bovidae. The record is from Ensembl.